This 253-nucleotide ribosomal RNA is filed under the name uncultured bacterium. RNAcentral describes it as "partial 16S ribosomal RNA". It matches the Rfam family "Bacterial small subunit ribosomal RNA", at positions 524 to 776 of the family's 1533-position model. The record is from RNAcentral.
UACGUAGGUGGCAAGCGUUGUCCGGAUUUACUGGGCGUAAAGGGCGUGCAGGCGGUCUGCUAAGUCUAGGGUGAAAGCUCCCGGCUCAACUGGGAGAGGUCCUUGGAUACUGGCGGACUUGAGGGAGGUAGAGGAGAGUGGAAUUCCCGGUGUAGUGGUGAUAUGCGUAGAUAUCGGGAGGAACACCUGUGGCGAAGGCGGCCCCCUGGUUGGAUACUGACGCUGAUACGCGAAAGCGUGGGGAGCAAACAGG